RNAcentral lists this long non-coding RNA (789 nucleotides) under Homo sapiens (human). RNAcentral's name for it is "HSALNT0395639". The record is from RNAcentral. Lineage: Eukaryota; Metazoa; Chordata; Mammalia; Primates; Hominidae.
GUUGUGGUGUAAAAGGUCCCCGGGUACAAUUUGUGCAGCAGAAAUACGGCACUUCACAGGCUGCUUAGAAACCUAGCAAGUCCCUUGAGCACAAACUAUUUUCCUAAGCUUGGUGGGGGCGUGAGAGGGUGGCCGGGGACUGGUGACAAUGUUGUUUGUGCACUGGGAGAGUCCGGCUGAAUUGCAACUGGCCUUUACAUCCUAAUCAGCUCCCUGAGGACAACCCGAAAGACAUCAGAUUAAAAAGUCACAAUGAGAUAAACCAGCACGACGCGGCUCUCUGCAAAGCGACAGCUUUGCACGGGUAUUUCACACAAAUUCAAGACAUCAUAUGACUUUGCCUGUAGAACCUUCAGAAUGUUCUCUAAUCACUGAAGCUUUCUGAUUUCCCAACACAGAACCACCCAAUCAAAUUAACACUGUCUUAUUAUCAACUUGCUCCAUGAUUAUCAACAAUAAUUUCCUGUUACCAAUAACCAGCCUGUGACCCAUUGUCCAUGAUUAUCUCAAAAAUGUCUUUAAUGGCCCGGCGUGGUGGCUCACGUCUGUAAUCCCAGCCCUUUGGGAGGCUGAGGCGAGCUGAUUGCUUCAGGACAGGAGUUUGAGACCAGCCUGGGCAACAUACCAAGACCUCAUCUCUACAAAAAAUACAAAAAAAUUAGCUGGGCAUGGUGGCACGUACCUGUAGUCCCAGCUAUUUGAAAGGAUGAGGUGGGAGGAUCGCUUGAGCCCAGGUGGUCAAGGUUGCAGUGAACCAUGAUGGCACCACUGCACUCCAGCCUGGGCAAC